Molecule: long non-coding RNA, 206 nt
Filed under: Zalophus californianus (California sea lion)
Lineage: Eukaryota; Metazoa; Chordata; Mammalia; Carnivora; Otariidae
Description: lncRNA (ENSZCAG00015010435.1)
Source: RNAcentral
UGGGGGAAUGAGUGGCUGCCUGGAAGGCAGGAAGUGGCUCUGCGGGAAUUCUGAGGGAGACUUCCAGGGCAAGGGGGCCCACCAGAUCUUCUCUGGUGAGCAUCCCCCCAGCCUGGCCUAGGGCAUGCCCCAGUUCACUUUCGCCUGCUUCUGUGGCCUCCACGGCUUCUGCAAGAUGAAGAGGAAGAAGGAGGAAGUUCACAGAG